This 85-nucleotide transfer RNA is filed under the name Felis catus (domestic cat). It matches the Rfam family "tRNA". Rfam says of the family: Transfer RNA (tRNA) molecules are approximately 80 nucleotides in length. Their secondary structure includes four short double-helical elements and three loops (D, anti-codon, and T loops). The record is from Rfam by way of RNAcentral. Lineage: Eukaryota; Metazoa; Chordata; Mammalia; Carnivora; Felidae.
GCCUGGGUGGCUCAGUCGGUUAAGCGUCUGACUUCGGCUCAGGUCAUGAUCUCACGAUCCGUGAGUUUGAGUCCCGCGUCAGGCU